GGGCUGCACAACGAUAGCCUUCGCUUCCGCUUUCUUCGGCUCAACCGGCUUGUUAUCGGCACACGGCAGAUCUUCACCGUACGGGUGCGGGAUCGGGUCGAUUUUGCCCGGC
This 112-nucleotide unclassified non-coding RNA is filed under the name plant metagenome. Its description in RNAcentral is "partial contains 5.8S ribosomal RNA, internal transcribed spacer 2, and large subunit ribosomal RNA". The record is from RNAcentral.